RNAcentral lists this ribosomal RNA (253 nucleotides) under uncultured bacterium. RNAcentral's name for it is "partial 16S ribosomal RNA". It matches the Rfam family "Bacterial small subunit ribosomal RNA", at positions 524 to 776 of the family's 1533-position model. The record is from RNAcentral.
UACGAAGGGGGCUAGCGUUGUUCGGAAUUACUGGGCGUAAAGCGCACGUAGGCGGAUACUUAAGUCAGGGGUGAAAUCCCGGGGCUCAACCCCGGAACUGCCUUUGAUACUGGGUAUCUCGAGUCCGGAAGAGGUGAGUGGAAUUCCGAGUGUAGAGGUGAAAUUCGCAGAUAUCGGGAAGAACACCCGUGGCGAAGGCGGCUCUCUGGGACGGUACUGACGCUGAGACGCGAAAGCGUGGGUAGCAAACAGG